CAAGAAGCUACGUCCAGCAGCUUUGUUUCAUUUUCCCACAUUUGUGCACUUUUACAGAUAUUAAACAGUUAAUAAACCACCAUUAUUACAUAUUUAAACCCGAAGAAACACUAAAUAGAUAAAAUAAAACAAAUCACACAACUCCACUCCUCGCAUUCCCGCCAAAUAGUCCCUCUGUUCUGUGAUUUGUUUCAUUGAUUAAACACUUUGUUUUGUAUAAACUAAUGAUGUUUUGUUUUUAAAACAUACAUUUGUAAUUUUGUAACUUUGUCAUCAUUAUGGAUACAAUAAAAAUACGAGUAAUUAUGGAAUACGAGUUCCGUCGCGGUACCAGUGCGACACAAACGGCUCGCAACAUUAAUGACGUUUACGGAAUGAAUACUACAAAUGAACGCACCACACGUUUCUGGUUUCAACGCUUUCGACAUGGAAAUUUUGAUCUAAAAAACGAACCCCGUGGACGCCCGAAAACUAAAGUCGACAACGACGAAUUAAAGGCAAUAGUGGAAGCUGACCAAACUCAAUCUACCGCUGAUUUAGCAGCAGCUUUCCAGACACAGAAAUGAAGGACUGCAAUGUCACUUGUAAUGAAAAAUUUAUUCUUUUUGAUGAUUGCAAGCUAUCAUGGCGAUGAUUAGACCCUGGUUCAACACGAAGGAUUACUGGUGGGCCAGAGGCUUUUCCAGUUUCACCGGGACGGGGCAAGCAAAGCCUCAGUCAGGAGGCAAGAGAUUAGGUAACAGCUGCCCAAGUGCCUCCAAAAACUAAACUCAAGGGCAGCUGCAUUGCAAAUGAAUCUGCUACCGAAUUGAAAUUGCGACCCACUCAGAAAAUCCAGUAAGAAACUCAGUGGGUUGUGCCUGUGAGACCGCAGAAGCCUAGACCCAGAAUGGCUAUCAAAACUCUUGUUACGUACCGAGCAUUCAAAGAUUGGCCAAUGUAAAAAAAAUACUAAAAAUAAACUUUAAUGUCAUAAAA
Long non-coding RNA from Bombyx mori (domestic silkworm), 978 nucleotides. RefSeq lists it as uncharacterized. The record is from RefSeq and is a predicted model, not a curated record. The transcript is spliced from 3 exons. NCBI's taxonomy places the organism in Eukaryota, Metazoa, Arthropoda, Insecta, Lepidoptera, Bombycidae.